RNAcentral lists this ribosomal RNA (427 nucleotides) under uncultured bacterium. RNAcentral's name for it is "partial 16S ribosomal RNA". It matches the Rfam family "Bacterial small subunit ribosomal RNA", at positions 354 to 796 of the family's 1533-position model. The record is from RNAcentral.
GUGGGGAAUAUUGCGCAAUGGGGGAAACCCUGACGCAGCAAUACCGCGUGAGUGAAGAAGGUUUUCGGAUCGUAAAACUCUUUUAUUGGGGAAGAAGAAGUGACGGUACCCAAUGAAGAAGUCCCGGCUAACUACGUGCCAGCAGCCGCGGUAAUACGUAGGGGACAAGCGUUGUCCGGAAUCACUGGGCGUAAAGGGCGCGUAGGCGGUUUUAUAAGUCAGAUGUGAAAGGUACCGGCUCAACCAGUGACGUGCAUUUGAAACUGUAAGACUUGAGUACUGGAGAGGCAAGUGGAAUUCCUAGUGUAGCGGUGAAAUGCGUAGAUAUUAGGAGGAACACCGGUGGCGAAGGCGGCUUGCUGGACAGAUACUGACGCUGAGGUGCGAAAGCGUGGGGAGCGAACAGGAUUAGAAACCCGUGUAGUCC